UACGAAGGGGGCUAGCGUUGCUCGGAAUUACUGGGCGUAAAGCGCACGUAGGCGGUCUUUUAAGUCGGGGGUGAAAUCCUGGAGCUCAACUCCAGAACUGCCUUCGAUACUGGAAGACUUGAGUCCGGGAGAGGUGAGUGGAACUGCGAGUGUAGAGGUGAAAUUCGUAGAUAUCCGCAAGAACACCAGUGGCGAAGGCGGCUCACUGGCCCGGUACUGACGCUGAAGUGCGAAAGCGUGGGGAGCAAACAGG
RNAcentral lists this ribosomal RNA (253 nucleotides) under uncultured bacterium. RNAcentral's name for it is "partial 16S ribosomal RNA". It matches the Rfam family "Bacterial small subunit ribosomal RNA", at positions 524 to 776 of the family's 1533-position model. The record is from RNAcentral.